Molecule: Y RNA, 95 nt
Filed under: Microcebus murinus (gray mouse lemur)
Lineage: Eukaryota; Metazoa; Chordata; Mammalia; Primates; Cheirogaleidae
Description: Y RNA (ENSMICG00000046043.1)
Rfam family: Y RNA
About the family: Y RNAs are components of the Ro ribonucleoprotein particle (Ro RNP), in association with Ro60 and La proteins. The Y RNAs and Ro60 and La proteins are well conserved, but the function of the Ro RNP is not known.
Source: Rfam by way of RNAcentral
GGCUGGUCCGAUGGUAGUGGGUUAUCAGAACUUAUUAACAUUAGUGUCACUAAAGUUGGUAUUUAAUCCCCCACUGCUAAAUUUGACUGCUUAAA